AGAGAAACCAAACUGUGGAUCCUAAGCAUCCCUCAGACUCACCCCAUCGCCUUCAAAGAGCACAGGAGAGAGAGAACUUCUGAGGGUGAUGCUGAGGAGUCAGAGGUGGUGGGAUCUCUGGGCCUCCCACAAAAGGUCCUGUGGGAGUCCAGUGGCGCUUUCUGAUUGCGGAGGGGGCCAGGGAGAAGGUCGU
Long non-coding RNA from Dermochelys coriacea (leatherback sea turtle), 193 nucleotides. RefSeq lists it as uncharacterized. NCBI's taxonomy places the organism in Eukaryota, Metazoa, Chordata, Testudines, Dermochelyidae. The record is from RefSeq and is a predicted model, not a curated record. The transcript has 2 exons.